AGAGCGAACGCUGGCGGCAGGCCUAAUACAUGCAAGUCGAACGGACCCUUCGGGGUUAGUGGCGGACGGGUGAGUAACACGUGGGAACGUGCCCUUUGGUUCGGAACAACUCAGGGAAACUUGAGCUAAUACCGAAUGUGCCCCCAUCCUUAAACAAGAUGGGUGGGAAAGAUUUAUCGCCAUUGGAGCGGCCCGCGUCUGAUUAGCUAGUUGGUGGGGUAAAGGCUCACCAAGGCGACGAUCAGUAGCUGGUCUGAGAGGAUGAUCAGCCACACUGGGACUGAGACACGGCCCAGACUCCUACGGGAGGCAGCAGUAGGGAAUCUUGCGCAAUGGGCGAAAGCCUGACGCAGCCAUGCCGCGUGAAUGAUGAAGGUCUUAGGAUUGUAAAAUUCUUUCAGCGGGACGAUAAUGACGGUACCCGCAGAAGAAGCCCCGGCUAACUUCGUGCCAGCAGCCGC
RNAcentral lists this ribosomal RNA (461 nucleotides) under uncultured bacterium. Its description in RNAcentral is "SSU rRNA". It matches the Rfam family "Bacterial small subunit ribosomal RNA", at positions 26 to 518 of the family's 1533-position model. The record is from RNAcentral.